CAACGUGGCUGUGUAAUGGAAAUCUGCUCUAUAUUUCAAAACAGAUUAAAGUGAAAAGACACUGCAGCGGCAAGGGGGUUUUCUGGGAUGACCUGCCUGUGGGAUUUGGGCCUCCAUCCCCUUACACCCAGUAGAGGCACAGCCUGAGG
Oncorhynchus masou masou (cherry salmon) is the source of this 149-nucleotide long non-coding RNA. RefSeq lists it as uncharacterized. The transcript has 2 exons. NCBI's taxonomy places the organism in Eukaryota, Metazoa, Chordata, Actinopteri, Salmoniformes, Salmonidae. The record is from RefSeq and is a predicted model, not a curated record.